CUUGCGCACUGAGUGAAGGCAGGCUGGACUCGCGGGCUCAAGCUGGGAAGGAGCAUGCGCGGAGAGAGCAGCCUGGGCGCCGAGGCAGCGGGGUGCUCGGUUCCCGGAGUGAUGGCGGAUGAGGCUGCCUGUGAGCGUGUCCGAGGCGGUCCUGUGAUGUUAAAGGUACACGUGGUCCGGACAAAAGGCGCCAAAGUCGGAACGAUUUCCAUUUAGCGGACGGAGUCUUGGGACAUCUUCGCUGUAGGAAUCAAUAACUCUCAUUUUUUUUUUUUGAGACGGAGUCUCGCUCUGUGGCCCAGGCUGGAGUGCAGUGGCGCGAUCUCGGCUCACCGCAACCUCCACCUUCCAGGUUCAAGCGAUUUCCCUGCCUCAGCCUCCCGAGUAGAUGGGAUUACAGUCGCGCGCCACCACGCCCGGCUAAUUUUUUUUGUAUUUUUGUAGAGAUGGGGUUUCACCAUGUUGGCCAGGAUGGUCUUGAACUCCUGACCUCAGGUGUUCCGCCCGCCUUGGCCUCCCAAAGUGCUGAGAUUACAGGCAUGAGCCACCGCACCCUGCCUAGGAAUCAGUAACGUGUGUGUGUGUGUACGCGCGCCAAAGAUUUAUUUCUUCAUUUCUUGCAUUUCAAGUACUCUUCGAUGUCAUCCUUGGCCUGAGACUCCUUGCCAUAGUCCUUAACUACUACACAACUGCAACCAACCACUUUACGGGGUUUCCCCUCUCUGUCGAUUUUUACAGAGCCCUACCCAUUCUCCUAGUUUCUUGUUGUCAUCAACCUUAAUUAGGUUGAUUUGGUGUUCAGCACAAAGGCCUCCACCAACUUGACAUACAUAGUAGGCUCAUCAUAGUUGGAUGCAAGCACACAAAGAUGGGCUUGGCGUUUGUCUAAGGCUUUGGCAGCUUCGCGAAUUCCACGUGCUAGGUCAUGGUGGAUGAGAGCGGUCUUCAGCACCUCUUGUGAAGCAGUAUUAACAUCCAUUACCCCUCCAGCAGCAAUGCCUUCCUCGGCCGUGGCGGUGGGUUACAAGUGAAGCUGAAUCUUGAAGGUACCCAAGCCUCCGCCUCCGCGCAACUCGGCAGCGGCAGGGAAAGAGAAGGAAUCAAUAACUCUCUAGGUAACUUGAAAUCACAGACAUUUUUAACUACAUUUGCAACUUCAGAAAUGAUACAAGACGUGCGCCUUGCAAAAGCCAAUUCAAACAGUACAGAAAGGCAUAAAGUAAAAAGAAAAACUGCUCCUCCCCCGCAAAGCCCUGCCCCAGUAGCGUGUAUACUUUCCUAAUAUUAGUCUAUGCACAAGCACAUAAAUGAAUAUUUUACAAGAUUGGGGUCUGCGUGUGGCUUGUUUUCACUCAUGGCCUUCUUUAUGCUGUUUUUUAAACUGUGGUAUGAAUGAAAUGGGUGCACCAUGAUUUAAUAAUUCUAUUGCUGAAUUAAUGCUUAAAGGCUGCUCCAGCUUUUUGCUAAUGCAAACUGUAGUGAACACGCUAAUACCUCUAUGUUUAUGUUUGUGUACUUUUGUGAUUGUUAGAUUCAAAUCCAAGAGUCAUCAUUUUUCUUUUUUUGAGGAGUCUCUCUGUCGCCCAGGCUAGAGUGCAAUGGCACGAUCUCGGCUCACUGCAACCUCCGCCUCCCAAGUUCAAGUGAUUCUCCUACCUCAGCCUCCCAAGUAGCUGGAAGUACAGGCACCCACCACCAUGCCCAGCUAAUUUUUGUAUUUUUAGUAGAGACGGGGCUUCACCAUGUUGGCCAGGCUGGUCUCAAACUCCUGACCUCAAGUGAUCUGCCGGCCUCAGCCUCCCAAAGUCCUGGGAUUACAGGUGUGAGCCACCCCACCUGGCCCGUUUUUCCUCUUAUUGCCUCCUAUCCAAUCCUUCAAGUCCUGGCAUUCAAGGCCUCCAAAAUACAUUAACCCAAUAGCGUUAAUUUUUCUCCAUCUCCACUGCCGCUCCGGUCCAAAUUACCAUUCACUCUCACCUAGUCUAUUACAAAGCCUUCGUUGCUCUCUGCUUCCCUCUUAGCACCCUGUAGUCCCUUCACACAGCAACCAAAGUGGUCUUUUCAAAUGUAAACAAGUUGUUGUCACUCCUAGCUUCAACCCCUCUGUGGCUUCCAAAUGUGAUGAGAAUGAAAUCCCAUCUCGUCACUGAGGCCUAAAAGAAUCCACCCAAUCUGACUCAUACCCACCUCCCUGACCUCAACACAUACCACAAGUACCCUUUUCCUUCUCUCUUCCUAUUCUUGAGCCACGCUAGCCUUCUAUUUUCCAGCAAAGCCCAUUCUCACAUCCGAACCUUUGCACAUGUUGCUGAUUAUGCUGGAGAAACUGUCCUUUGAUUCUAUGUAACUAACGCCAUUUUGCCAUCCUGAGACGACUUCUUUUUCGGUAGCUCCCACUCCAACCCCCAUCAGCCUCCAUCACAUUUGCCUGUUUAUAAUUCAUGUCAUUACCAGAAAUUUGCUUUCUUAUUAACUAUCUCUUGUCUAAAAUACAAACUCCAUGAAAGGGCUCCUGUCUCCUACACUAUGCUAUUCCUAUCACCUAGAACAGUGCCUGGUACAUAAAAGGUGCUGAAAAAAUAUUUCCCCAGGCUGGAGUGCAGUGGCAUGAUCACAGCUCACUGCAGCCUUGACCUCCCAGCUCAAACGAUCCUCCCACCUCAGCCUCCCUAGUACAUGAGACUCUAGGCACUAGCCACUAUAUUUGGCUCAUUUUUCGUUUUUCGGAGGUUUUUUGUUUUCUUUUUUCCUCGAGAUGGAGUUUCGCACUGUCACCCAGGCUGGAGUGCAGUGGCGCGAUCUUGGCUCACUGCAAGCUCUGCCUCCCAGGUUCAGGCCAUUCUCCUGCCUCAGCCUCCCAAGUAGCUGGG
Molecule: long non-coding RNA, 2870 nt
Filed under: Homo sapiens (human)
Lineage: Eukaryota; Metazoa; Chordata; Mammalia; Primates; Hominidae
Description: HSALNT0236264
Source: RNAcentral